RNAcentral lists this ribosomal RNA (3061 nucleotides) under Caldifarciminota bacterium JGI_Cruoil_03_51_56. Its description in RNAcentral is "bacterial LSU rRNA". It matches the Rfam family "Bacterial large subunit ribosomal RNA". Lineage: Bacteria; Pseudomonadati; Caldifarciminota. The record is from RNAcentral.
UCAAGCUUUUAAGGGCAUAUGGUGGAUGCCUUGGUAGUUGGAGACGAUGAAGGGCGCGGUAAGCUGCGAUAAGCGUCGGAGAGGUGCACACAACCUUUGAACCGGCGGUUCCCGAAUGGGGAAACCCGUACGGAGUCAUGUCCGUCCAUCCCAGGAUGAAUCCAUAGUCCUGGGGGGUGAACCCGGAGAAGUGAAACAUCUCAGUACCCGGAGGAAAAGAAAGCAACUGCGAUUCCCCUAGUAGUGGCGAGCGAACGGGGAAUAGCCUAAACCGAUUCCGGUGUCAAGCCGGCAGGCGUUGCCGGAACGGUGUCGCGGGACCAAUUGCGUCAACUGCUGUGAGACGGAGGAGUCAGAAAAGUCUUUUCCUAGUCGAAGUUUUCUGGAAAGGAAGACCAGAGACGGUGAUAGUCCGGUAGGCAAAAGGAAAGGAUUCUCCUUAGAUUGAGUUCCCAAGUACCACGGGACACGAGAAAUCUUGUGGGAAUCUGGGACGACCACGUUCCAAGGCUAAAUACUACCAACUGACCGAUAGCGCACUAGUACCGUGAGGGAAAGGUGAAAAGAACCCCUGGCGGGGAGUGAAAUAGAACCUGAAACCGUAUGCCUACAAUCAGUGGGAGCAGCUUGUUGUCUUUCCUUCGGGUUUGACAACGGCUGUGACCGCGUGCCUUUUGUUUAAUGAGCCGGCGAGUGAAUGUAUGUAGCAAGGCUAAGUCUCUCUGAGAUGCAACCGUAGCGAAAGCGAGUCCUAAUCGGGCGUCCAGUUUCAUGCAUUCGACCCGAAACCCGGUGAUCUACCCAUGGCCAGGUUGAACUCUCAGUAACAUGAGAGGAAGGACCGAACCGGUGAGUCUUGCAAUACUCUCGGAUGAGCUGUGGGUCGGAGUGAAAGGCUAAUCAAACCGGGUGAUAGCUGGUUCUCCCCGAAAUGCUUUUAGGAACAGCCUCUGGCGUUCAGUUGCGGAGGUAGAGCACUGGACGGGCGCUCUCCCACAAUGUGAGGGAAAACCCGACCAAACUCCGAAUGCCGUAACCCUAGAGCCAGGGAGUGAGGCUACGAGCUAUGAGGUCCGUGGCCGAGAGGGGAAUAACCCAGACCAUCAGCUAAGGCCCCUAAGUGUAUGCUAAGUGGGAAAAGAAGUGAGACUACUCAGACAGCUGGGAUGUUGGCUUAGAAGCAGCAACCAUUCAAAGAGUGCGUAACAGCUCACCAGUCGAGCGGCCUUGCGCUGAAAAUAUACCGGGGCUCAAGCAUACCGCCGAAGCUAUGGAAUGAAACAGUUGUCAGUUUUCAGUUUUCGGCCUUGGUCGAUUGCUGACGGCUGGCAAUACAAGCUGUUUUAUUGGUAGGGGAGUGUUCUGUUAUAGAUUGAAGGUGUGCCGCGAGGCAUGCUCGACGAAGCAGAAGUGAUUAUGCCGGCAUAAGUAGCGAUAAAACAGGUGCAAAACCUGUUCGCCGAAAGUCCAAGGUUUUCUGGGGAAGGUUAAUCCGCCCAGAGUUAGUCGGGACCUAAGCCGAGGCCGAAAGGCGUAGGCGAUGGAAAUCCGGUCAACAUUCCGGAACCACUUUGGUACCGUUAUGAACUAUGGGGAGACGCAGAAGGAAUGGUCCAGCCCCGUGUUGGUUGGGGUCUAAGCCUUUGAGAUGGGUCGUAGGUAAAUCCGCGGCCGUAAUUCCCGAAGGCGAAUGGGACCCUGUCGUAAGGCAGGGGAACUGGGCCGGCCCGACUGCCGAGAAAAUCCUCUAUGCCAGGUGCCGAGGUGCCCGUACCGCAAACCGACACAGGUGGACGAGGUGAGUAUCCAAAGGCGCUCGGGUGAUGUUUCGUUAAGGAACUCGGCAAUAUCGCCCCGUAACUUCGGGAUAAGGGGCCCCGCCGUAAGGCGGGCGCAGAGAAAUGGCUCUGGCGACUGUUUAACAAAAACACAGGUCUCUGCUAAGCCGUAAGGCGACGUAUAGGGACUGACACCUGCCCGGUGCCGGAAGGUUAAGGAAGAGGCUCAGUCCGCUUCGGCGGGCGAAGGUUUCGACCGAAGCCCCGGUAAACGGCGGCCGUAACUCUAACGGUCCUAAGGUAGCGAAAUUCCUUGUCGGGUAAGUUCCGACCUGCACGAAUGGUGUAACGACUGGAGCACUGUCUUGACGAGAUGCCCGGCGAAAUUGAAGUGGCGGUGAAGAUGCCGCCUGCCCGCGAUUGGACAAAAAGACCCCGUGAACCUUUACUGUAGCUUGCCAUUGGAUUUUGGCAGUGCAUGUGUAGGAUAGGUGGGAGGCUUUGAAGCCGGGACGCCAGUCCCGGUGGAGCCAACGGUGAAAUACCACCCUUGUGCUGUUGGGAUUCUAACGCCAUGCCCUGAAACGGGCUGGCAGACAGUGGCAGGUGGGCAGUUUGACUGGGGCGGUUGCCUCCUAAAAUGUAACGGAGGCGUUCAAAGGUCAGUUCAGCACGGACGGUCACCGUGCGUUGAGUGUAAGGGCAUAAGCUGGCUUGACUGCGAGAGAGACAUCUCGAGCAGGGACGAAAGUCGGACCUAGUGAUCCUGUGGCUCCGCGUGGAAGGGCCAUAGCUCAUCGGACAAAAGGUACUCCGGGGAUAACAGGCUAAUUGUGCCCGAGAGUUCAUAUCGACGGCACAGUUUGGCACCUCGAUGUCGGCUCACCGCAUCCUGGGGCUGAAUAAGGUCCCAAGGGUUGGUCUGUUCGCCCAUUAAAGCGGUACGUGAGCUGGGUUCAGAACGUCGUGAGACAGUUCGGACUCUAUCCAUCGUGGGCGCAGGAGACUUGAGGGGAGCUGCCCUUAGUACGAGAGGACCAGGGUGGACGUACCUCUGAUUUACGAGUUGUCAUGCCAAUGGCACUGCUCGGUAGUCAAGUACGGAAGGGAUAACCGCUGAAGGCAUAUAAGCGGGAAGCCCACCCCAAGAUUAGGUCUCCCGUGUGCUUCUGCUUCGGUAGAAGCACCCUGAAGGCUCCUGGAAGACGACCAGGUUGAUAGGUCACAGGUGUAAGCACAGCAAUGUGUUCAGCCGAGUGAUACUAAUAAGCCGUGCGGCUUGA